AUUGAACGCUGGCGGCAGGCUUAACACAUGCAAGUCGAGGGGCAGCAUGGGCUUAGCUUGCUAAGCCCGAUGGCGACCGGCGCACGGGUGAGUAACACGUAUCCAACCUUCCGGUAACUCCGGUAUAGCCUUUCGAAAGAAAGAUUAAUCCCGGAUAGUAUGGUGAUUCCGCAUGGUUUCUCCAUUAAAGGAUUCCGGUUACCGAUGGGGAUGCGUUCCAUUAGGCAGUUGGCGGGGUAACGGCCCACCAAACCUACGAUGGAUAGGGGUUCUGAGAGGAAGGUCCCCCACAUUGGAACUGAGACACGGUCCAA
This 314-nucleotide ribosomal RNA is filed under the name uncultured bacterium. RNAcentral describes it as "bacterial SSU rRNA". It matches the Rfam family "Bacterial small subunit ribosomal RNA", at positions 30 to 334 of the family's 1533-position model. The record is from RNAcentral.